UACGGGGGGGGCAAGCGUUGUUCGGAAUUACUGGGCGUAAAGGGCUCGUAGGCGGCCAACUAAGUCAGACGUGAAAUCCCCAGGCUUAACCUGGGAACUGCGUCUGAUACUGGAUGGCUUGAAUUCGGGAGAGGGAUGCAGAAUUCCAGGUGUAGCGGUGAAAUGCGUAGAUAUCUGGAGGAAUACCGGUGGCGAAGGCGGCAUCCUGGACCGAGAUUGACGCUGAUGAGUGAAAGCUAGGGGAGCAAACGGG
Molecule: ribosomal RNA, 253 nt
Filed under: uncultured bacterium
Lineage: Bacteria
Description: partial 16S ribosomal RNA
Rfam family: Bacterial small subunit ribosomal RNA
Source: RNAcentral